This 200-nucleotide ribosomal RNA is filed under the name uncultured prokaryote. RNAcentral's name for it is "partial 16S ribosomal RNA". It matches the Rfam family "Bacterial small subunit ribosomal RNA", at positions 1183 to 1382 of the family's 1533-position model. The record is from RNAcentral.
CGUCAAAUCAUCAUGCCCUAUAUGUCCUGGGCUACACACGUACUACAAUGGCUAAAACAAAGGGAAGCGAAAUAGUGAUAUGGAGCAAAACCCAAAAAAGUAGUCUCAGUUCGGAUUGAAGGCUGAAAUUCGCCUUCAUGAAGCCGGAAUUGCUAGUAAUGGCAGGUCAGCAUACUGCCGUGAAUACGUUCCCGGGCCUU